RNAcentral lists this ribosomal RNA (449 nucleotides) under uncultured bacterium. RNAcentral's name for it is "partial 16S ribosomal RNA". It matches the Rfam family "Bacterial small subunit ribosomal RNA", at positions 29 to 523 of the family's 1533-position model. The record is from RNAcentral.
AACGAACGCUUGCGGCAGGCUUAACACAUGCAAGUCGAACGCAUCCUUCGGGGUGAGUGGCAGACGGGUGAGUAACGCGUGGGAAUCUACCCAUCUCUGCGGAAUAGCUCCGGGAAACUGGAAUUAAUACCGCAUACGCCCUACGGGGGAAAGAUUUAUCGGGGAUGGAUGAGCCCGCGUUGGAUUAGCUAGUUGGUGGGGUAAAGGCCUACCAAGGCGACGAUCCAUAGCUGGUCUGAGAGGAUGAUCAGCCACAUUGGGACUGAGACACGGCCCAAACUCCUACGGGAGGCAGCAGUGGGGAAUAUUGGACAAUGGGCGCAAGCCUGAUCCAGCCAUGCCGCGUGAGUGAUGAAGGCCUUAGGGUUGUAAAGCUCUUUCACCGAUGAAGAUAAUGACGGUAGUCGGAGAAGAAGCCCCGGCUAACUUCGUGCCAGCAGCCGCAGUAA